Molecule: ribosomal RNA, 432 nt
Filed under: uncultured bacterium
Lineage: Bacteria
Description: partial 16S ribosomal RNA
Rfam family: Bacterial small subunit ribosomal RNA
Source: RNAcentral
AACGAACGCUGGCGGCAUGCCUAACACAUGCAAGUCGAACGAGACCUUCGGGUCUAGUGGCGCACGGGUGCGUAACGCGUGGGAACCUGCCUUUAGGUUCGGAAUAACUCAGAGAAAUUUGAGCUAAUACCGGAUGAUGUCUUCGGACCAAAGAUUUAUCGCCUUUAGAUGGGCCCGCGUUGGAUUAGCUAGUUGGUGGGGUAAAGGCCUACCAAGGCGACGAUCCAUAGCUGGUCUGAGAGGAUGAUAAGCCACACUGGGACUGAGACACGGCCCAGACUCCUACGGGAGGCAGCAGUGGGGAAUAUUGGACAAUGGGCGAAAGCCUGAUCCAGCAAUGCCGCGUGAGUGAUGAAGGCCUUAGGGUUGUAAAGCUCUUUUACCCGAGAUGAUAAUGACAGUAUCGGGAGAAUAAGCUCCGGCUAACUCCGU